AGGCAGUGGGGAUUGGGGCAGGUUUGUAGAGUUCUGGUGGUCCUGGGAGGGCUCAGGGAGCAGCCAAAUGCCUUCCCUGGUGACAGGAGUGAGCCCCUUCCUCUAAUCAGAGGGACAAAGUCAUACAGGCCAAGACAUUAGCAGCCGUGUGUGAGAGCGGCUAGGAUUUUUUCACGGCACCUCCCCAGGGGUCUGUGGGGAGGAACUUCCCAAAGGACCAUGGGCAUCAAAGGUGUGGCUUAUCUAAUUCAGAUGGAGAAGCAAGGCUGAGGUUCCAGUUCAAAGAAGGAUAGCCAGAAACGUGAAAGUCCUUGAUAUUUACAAAGGCUAUUUCUUUCUUCUAGCCCUGAUUCAAACUCCUUUCUGCCUAUUAUCAAAAGAAAGAACAAACUUGCAUAAUUUAAACAUAUUUAAAAAUAGGUUCCCUUUUGACUAAGAGAGAUUUAAAAAGAAAAAUUAGUUCCUCUCUGCCUGGAACAGAUAUGAGGGAAAUGUCAGUGGAUGGAAAUGGCAAUGAGCUCCUCUGGAAUUCUGGGAGAUUGGACAUGGACCCUGGAGCGAUGCUGACAUUUAUUCAUCAUGGUUAUCUGCAUCAUGGUUUUCUCAUCCGUAAAGCAGGAAAUGGGGACAGAUGUUCCUCAUGGCCCCUGCAUGGUUCUGUGUGGGGAACUUUAUUUGUGGGUGUGGAAUUUUUUUUUUUUUUUGAGACAGGUUCUCACUGUCACCCAGGCUGGAGGUCAGUGGCAUAAUCAUGCCUCACUGUAGCCUCGACCUCCUGGUUCAAGUGAUCCUCCUGCCUCAGCCUCCUGUGUAGGUGGGACCACAGGUGUGCAACAUCAUGCCCGGCUAGUUUUUUAUUUUUGUUUUUGUAGAGAUGGGGGUGUCCCUAUGCUGCCCAGGCUGGUCUCAAACUCUUGGGCUCAAGUGAUCUUCCUGCCUUGGCCUCCCAAAGUACUGUGAUGACAGGCUUGAGCUACGGCACCUGGCCCUGUGUGGGGAACUUUUUAAUAAAUAUGCUCUAAUACAGUCAUUCUCCAGGUACAUCACCUGGAAACUUAGAAAGGUAAAUUCUCAGAAUUCCCUCUGCCAACUUACAGAGUCAGAAACUCUGUGAUUUAACAAACCCUCCAGGACAUUCUAGUGUAUUCUGAAGUUUUAUAGCCACUGCUUUAAUAGAAACGAAAAGUUUGAGUCACAGAAUGUGUGGAAUAGGGCCUCACCACUUUACUAUUAGGCAGAUAACAAAGAGUAAAUAAUACUUAUUUCAAAAAAAAUCACAGAACAUUGGAAAGCAUACAUUAGACACAUUAGCUUCAGUACCAGAAUAAGUAAGUUUUCACAAACAAUUUAUAAAUAUGUAAUAUUUUCCAUUUAAGUCAAUAAUAAUUAUUUUUAAUUACAUUUUAUUUUGUAGAGACAGACUCUCACUAUGUUGCUCAGGCUGGUGUCAAACUCCUGGGCUCAAGCGAUGCUCCUGCCUUGGCCACCGAAAGUGCUGGGAUUACAGGUGAGAGCCACUGUGUUUGACCAAACAUUAUUUUUUUAAAGAACCAGCAGCACGGUUAACCAGACACCCCUUUCUGAUUAAAUGUGCAAUACACAAAACGCUUUCAUAAAUAGUCGUGUAAUAAUUUGCUUAUAGAGCUCUAUGCAAAUUAUUUUUCAAAGUUAUGUCAUUGAGUUUUUUAGGGGGAUAACUCAUGAUAACCAAAUGAAUUUAGACUUAAUUAAGUACAUGGAUUCUAUAGUAGUCACAACGUUGUGAGAGUAAACGUUUUUUUUAAAGGCAAGUAGAUAAUUUGCAGUUGUGUACAUAUGUGCUCCCAGGCUAAUUUUCUUUUCUUUCUUUUCUUUUUUUUGAGACAGAGUCUCACUCCGUCACUCAGGCUGAAGUGCAGUGGUGGGAGCUUGGCUCACUGCAACCCCCGCCUCCCAGGUUCAAGCAAUUCUCUUGCCCCAGCCUCCCGAGUAGCUGGAUUUACAGGCGCAUGCCACCAUGCCCGGCUAAUUUUUUUGUACGUUUAGUAGACACGGGGUUUCGCUAUGUUGGCCAGGCUGGUCUUGAACUCCUGAUCUCAAGUGAUCUGCCCACCUCAGCCUCCCAAAGUGCUGGGAUUACAGGCGUGAGCCACUGCGCCUGGCCGGAAACAACUAUAUUUUAAAAGAAGUAGAAGAUUCAAGUGGUACCAACAAUGCUUACUUUUUCCAGAAAAAUAGAUGUGGGAUUUGAGCUUUGGAAGGUGGCUCUGGUGUGUUGUAGGUGGUGGGCACCUCCAGCUCCUGCUGCUCUUGCAAACUCCAGUUUCCAGAUGGGCCUCACUUCUGCUGCUCCCUGUGGGAAACUCCUCCAGUUUUAUCGUCAGUCAGUUUCCUAAUUUUUUUUUUUUUGUAGUCUUGCUGUGUCACCCAGGCUGGAGUGUAAUGGUGCAAUCUCGGGUCACUGCAACUUCAAGCGAUUCUCCUGCCUCAGCCUCCUGAGUAGCUGGGAUUACAGGCAUGUGCCAUUAUGCCCAGCUAAUUUUUGUACUUUUAGUAGAGACGCAGUUUCACCAUGUUGGCCAGGCUGGCCUUGAACUCCUGACCUCAAGUGAUGCAUCCACCUUGGCCUCCCAAAGGGCUGAAAUUACAGGUGUGAGCCACCUCGCACGGCCAGUUCCCUAUUUUUAUCAGUGCACUUUACCAUUUAUCUACUCAAUUCCUCACCCAUAUGCAAGGCUGCCCUUUUCUGAAGGAUGCUAGUGGUGAAUCCAUUGAAAAAUCCACUGAUUGUGUUCCCCUAGGGCCUCUUCAAGAUGGAAAGAUUCAGGUGGGGCACGGUGGCUCACACCUGUAAUCUCAGCACUUUGGGAGGCCGAGGUGGGCGGAUCACCUGAGGUCAGGAGUUCAAGACCAGCCUGGCCAACAUGACAAAAUCCGUCUCUACUAAAAAUACAAAAAUUAGCCGGGGUGGUGGCUUGUGCCUGUAAUCCCAGCUACUCAGGAGGCUGAGGGAGGAGAAUCGCUUGAACUCAGGAGGCAGAGGUUGCAGUGAGCCAAGAUUGUGCCACUACACACCAUCCUGGGUGACAGAGUGAGACUCUGUCUCAAAAAAAAAAAGCCAGGUGCAGUGGCUCACGCCUGUAAUCCUAGCACUUUGGAGACCGAGGCAGGUGGAUUGCCUGAGCUCAGGAGUUUGAGACCAGCCUGGCCAACAUGGUGAAACCCCGUCUCUACUAAAAUACAAAAAAAUUAGCUGGGCGUGGCAGCAUGUACCUGUAGUCCCAGCUACUCAGGAGGCUCAGGAAGGAGAAUUGCUAGAACCUGGGAGGUGGAGGUUGCACUGAGCCAAGAUUGCACCGCUGUACUCCAGCCUGGGUGACAGAGUGAGACUCUAUCUGGAAAAAAAAAAAAAAAAAAAAAAAAGAUUCUACAGUGAGCACAAAGGUGAAACUCACCUUGAAUGCUUUUACCAAUUGAGUGUGGAUGAACUAAUUCAGAGUAUUGCGGGCCCCUGCUGCAGCAAACACAGAGCUCCCAAAAUGCUCAGGCUAUUGGGAGGCAACUGCCUUGUCAGGGUGGCCAAUGGUUUCCCCAUUGCCAAAUCGGACAGUUAACUCCAGUCCUUGUCUGACUGGAGGCCUGCAGAUCACUGCCUCCUCUGUAACGCUCUUUACCCCCAACCCAGGGAUCCAAGAUGCCCUACUCUAGGAUCAUUUUCUCUGCCUCAUUCAUCACUCAGACUCCUUCAUUUGUUCCUUCUCUUCUCCCUCCUCUGAGUGCUGCAGAGCCCGGGUUUCCAUCCUCAGACCCCUGCCCUGCCUGCUCUCUGUCCCAAGGCAGCACUGCCAGCAUCCGAAAUAAAAAUCCAGCCCUCCUAUUCAUAGUGACAUCGAAUUUCAGAUCAACGACAAAGAGUUUUAUGGCAUAAGCAUGUCCCAAAUAUUGCAUGGCCCCAAAUAUUUACUUAGUUAAUAAGUAAAAAUUGCACAAGACAUACUUAUGCUAAAGAGUAUUGACUAUUUGUCUGAGUCCAAAUGUCUCUGGGCAUGCUGGGUUUCAUCAGGUAAUCCUGCCAUGAUUUCAGUUUCAAGGUGAUACCAUCUAUGGUGACUCUUCUGAAAAUGUUUAUCUCUAGCCUAGGUCUCUCUCCUGAACUGCAGACUCCUGCUGCCUCCAGCACAUCGCCACUUGGGUAAUGAAUAGGUGUCUCAACCUGAACAUGUCAAAAACAACACUCAUUUUUCCCCCCAAUUCCUUGCCGUUCUCACAGGUAGUCUCGUCCCCCCAGCUGCUCACCCACAAGCCUUGCACUCAGCCUUGACUCUGUUCUUCUCACACCCCAUAUCCAGUCUGCCAGGAGGUCCUUGGUCCUCCUGGGCUACACUAAUAGUGCCUCUUGCUGGUCACUGCAACCACCUCCCAUUCCUUUCCCUGCAUUGUCCUGUGCCUCACAUGGUUUUUUUCUCAACAUGCCAGCCAGAAUGACUCUUUGAAAACUUUCUCAUGCCAUGUCACUUUUCAGCCCAUCGCCCUGCAGCAGGUCCCCAUGUUACUCAGUGUAAAAGCCCAAGGUCCUUGCCCCAUCCUGCAAAGCCCCUGUGACUCUGUGGUCUCUGGAACCUUAACUCUUCCACUCUUCCUCCAGACCACUCCCUCUCCCGCAGCCUCCUGGGUGCUCCCACCAGCCAGCAUGCUCCUGCUGCGGAGCUGUGGCCCUGGCUCCUUCCUUCCUCCCGGAAUGCUCUUGGCUCCGGUGUGCAUCAUGGAGAUAGCUCCUGUCUGCCCCCAAAUCGCUGCUCAAACCUCACCUCAGUGAGGCCGGCGCUGACCUCAUCACUGACCUAUUCACCUUCCAAACUGCUCACCUCCCAGGACUCUGAUACUCCUUCCCAACUCUUUUUCAUUCUUCCAUAAAUAACAAUGUCUAACUUAUUAGGCAAUUUCUUCAUUAUAAUUGUCCUUUGUUUUCAGUCUCUUCUCACUAGAAAGGAAAGUCCAUAAUGCCCAGAAUCUUUGUUGGGUUCCCUGAAGAAUGCCAGGCUCCCGGAAGAGGGCCUGCCUCCCAGCAGGCACAUGUGUGUGGAAUGAAUGAAUGAAUGAAUGAAUGAGGCUUGUGCAAACUAACUGCUUGCAGGAAACACCUGCUCCUUCCUGGGCACUGGGUGAAAUCUUUCGUAGAAGUUAACCAUUGACUCUUCUCCCCACCAGCCUCCUCCGUCCCUCACAGUUAAAUGCAGCUGGAAGAGGGGUUGCCCUGUACCUCCAGCUAGGUGGACUCCCCAGGAAAGAGUGACAUCUCACCACUGAGCCACCUCAGCCUUUUCCAGAGACAAGCCUUCUCUAGGCCAAUCAUCAGUGUCACAGCUAUUUGUUCUUGGGAUUUGUGGCUCUAUAUUCACAUGUAAGAAGCCAAGGCACCCAUGGGGAGCCACAGGCACCAACAGAAUACACUGAAAUCAAUCUUGCUGCGACUGGGGCUACAAGCAUGGUUACUUGGCUCACCACAGAAUUUUGUUUCAGCCUUGCCUUUGGAUCUGAAAUCCUAGGAAAUACAGUGGAAAGAAUUCUGUGGUGAGAAUCAUUAAACACUGAGUCUGGUUCAGCGCUGCUUCCUGUUACUUGUGUGACCCUGGACAGGCAAACCCAGCCUCCCUGGCUCUGAUCCCUCCUCUGUUAAAUGAGGGAUUUGGAUUGACACGAGUACUUCUCAAACUUUAGUGAAUCUUCUGGGGAUGUUGUUAAAAUGCAGUAUGUAUUCACCAGACCUGGGGUGGGGCCUGAGACUCUGCAUUUCCAACAAGUUCCUAGGUGAUACUGAUGCUGCUGGCUCAGGAUCGCACUCCAAUUAGGCCACCCUCCAAGGUGCCAUCAUGCUGUAAGCUAUAACAACUACCAAAUAAAGAAAAGCAUUAUGUCAACAAUGGAUAACAAUAAAUACUUAUUUUAGAAAAUAAAUAUAGCUUUUUCUUUUUUUGAAACAGGGUCUUACUUUGUCACCUAGGCUGGAGUGCUGUGGCAUGAACACAGCUCACUGCAGCCCCGACCUCCAGGGCUCAGGUAUCCUCCUGCCUCGGUCCCCCAAGUAGCUGGGACUACAGGUGUGCACCACCAUGGUUGGCUAAUUUUUGUGUUUUCUGUAAAGACAGGGUUUUGCCAUGUUGCCCAGGCUGGUACAAAUAUAGCUUUAGUUUUCUGUUUGUAAAAGUAAUGCAUGCUUACGAAAAUUGUUCUUAAAAAAAUCACAUAGGCCGGGCGCGGUGGCUCACGCCUGUAAUCCCAGCACUUUGGGAGGCCGAGGAGGGCGGAUCACGAGGUCAGGAGAUCGAGACUAUCCUGGCUAACACGGUGAAACCCCGUCUCUACUAAAAAUACAAAAAAUUAGCCGGGCGUGGUGGCGGGCGCCUGUAGUCCCAGCUACUGGGGAGGCUGCGGCGGGAGAAUGGCGUGAACCCAGGAGGUGGAGCUUGCAGUGAGCCGAGAUCGCGCCACUGCACUCCAGCCUGGGCGACAGCGAGACUCCGUCUCAAAAAAAAAAAAAAAAAAAAAAAAAAUCACAUACCAUGCAAUGACAGUAAAAAUCAUCCCAAGUUUCAUACCACUUGAACUAAUGUGCUCUAUUGUCACUUGGCUAUGAAGAAUACAAGUGCUAGGUUUCAGUAUUGGCAUCGUAUUACCUUGUCUUUUAAAAUCAGGUUGUGAAACUGGUAUCUUUUUCAAUUUGUUGCCAAUCAGUUAUGCGUUAAUUGAUUUGAAUUCAGUUCCUUCUGUUGUGGUAGAUUUGCUUCUGUAUCGUAUGAUUUCAAGUUGCUCAUUGCCUGAAUUCAGGACAGGGUAGUGGGUGGCUUUCUGGGGCCAUCUCAGGCGGGCUGAAUUGACCUGAAGAUGGCAAUAAGAGAAAAAAGCCAAGUAAAUAUCAAGAACAAUUUUUAGCAUAAAAUUCAGUGUUAAGAUUCAUUGAGAGCUAAUCAAUAGAAACGAAGGUUCUGUAAAUACAUCCAUCUUAUGGGAAUAACUUAGGUCAUAACCAUUGUUGGCAAAGGAGGAAAUUUUUCUUAGUUCCUCUGCACUUUCCCCAAUGAUAUUAAUGUUACACCUCUUUGAUCGUACUUGAAAUGAUUGUAAUAAUAACGAGAGCCGUAAGAGUUUGUUGGUCAUAAAAACAUACAACAUUUUAAGAACUUUAUUGGGUUUUUAUUGACAUAUAUAACUAUUAAAUAUAAGAUUAUAGACCCCAAAUAUCAAAUUAACUUUAGCAUUUACAAUUUUCCUUUGUCUCCUCUAAGCAGCCACAAUUUCCAAUGUAGCACAUAAUGAGGUCAUCAUAGUUGCAAAUCUAUAUCUUCAUAUUGUAUAACUUGAGAACAUUUUUAAACUCAGUGUAUAGGUUUGUGUGGAUGUUGUAUCAAUGUUCACAACACGAGGCAAGUGGAAAUAAAGCAAAAAUACUGUUAAUGUGUAAUAACAUUGUGCUAACAGAAUGGGCAAUUUGUAACAAUGCCAUCAGUGACUCCACUAUCUAGCACAACAGUUAAUACAUAGUGUGUAAGUUCACAUUUCAGAUAAGUGAUAGUUAUCAUUUUAAGUACCAAAACUUAGGUUUAAAGAAGUUUCUGAGAUAUGCAGAAUUCUACCUCUCACUGGGCUUUGAAAAUAUGUUACUCCUCAGGACUCACCGUGUCGUAAGCAUCACUGAUUAUUGUUUAUGUCUGUUCUAAAUUGCAGAAACAGUUUCAGAAACCUAGGUUAUUUGGUUUUUAGUCCUAAUCUUGUUACUGUAAAAGUCACACGUGUUCAUCCAUUGUAGAAAGUUCUCCAAAGUGCAAUCACAUAUAAAGAAGCAAAUAAAAAUCAUCCUCAAUCUCACUCUCCAGAAGUAAUGAUUAUUAACAGUUUCAUGAUCUUCAUCACACUGCAUUAAGUUUCCCAGAGCUGCCAUCACAAAUUAGCACAAACUGUGUGACUUAAAACAACAGAAAUUUAUUCUCUUACAGUUCACGAGGCCAGGAAUCUAAAAUUAAGGCAUCAGCAGGGUUGGGUCCUUCUGGAGGCUCUCAGAGAGUCUGUUCCAUGCGUCUCUCCUGGUUUCUGGUGUUUGCCAGCAAUCUUUGAUUCAUAGACACAUCAUUCCCAUCUCUACCUCCGCCAUCACAUGGCCUUAUUCUAUGUGUGUGUCUUUCUGCAUCCUCUCCUCUUUUUAUAAGGACACCAGGUAUUGGGUCUAUAGCCCAUCCUAAUCCAGAAUGACUUCGUCUCAGCUGAUUAACAUCUGCAAAGACUCUGUUUCUAAACAAAUUCAUAUUGUGAGGUUCUGGGUGAACAUGAAUUUGUGGGGGACACUGGGGGACACUUAUUCAACCCACUACACACACUGUAAUAUAUAUUUAUAGAAUCACGAAAACGGGACCAUAAUUUAUAUAAAGCUUAGUUCCCUUUACACUUAAGAUACCAUGAAUUUCCCUAGGUCUUUCAAACACAGAAUUUUAAUUUUUUGUAGAGUGUUUCAUCAUAUGAAGAUUACAUCAUUUCCAUAGCUAACCUGCUACUUCAAACACUCAGAUGGUUUCCAGACUUUACUAUUAUAAAUGGCUCUGAUGAAUAUACAUGUUCCCAAAUCUUUGAAUUUAUCUCUGCUUAUGUCCUUGGUAUAAAUUAUUCUGAGUCGAAUUAUUGGAUUAAGGGGUAUGAACAUUUUAAAGGCUCAUGAAAAAUCUUCUUUAAUUGAAUUCCAGAGAUUGUAUCAAUUUGCCAUCACCAGCAGAAGAGAGAACCCAUGGCAUUGCAUUCUCUGCACUGCACGUUCUAGCUUUUUGAGUGUUGGACAAGUGACUAGGCAAAGAAAUAACAUCCUUACUUUGUGACUUGUAUUUUUAUGUAAGGUUGCCUCUUUGUUUACGGACCACUUAUAUAUCUUUUUUAGGUUACCAAUUUAUGAUUUGUGUCUCCUUUUCAAUUUUUUUCUCCUCUCUCCAACUGCCAGUAUUUAUUUCUUACCAUCUCACGGAUGAGUAUACUGUCCACCUCCACCCCUUUUAGAGUCCACUGUUAGCUAAGAAACUAUGUAGAUGUAUCCUCCCUCUCCUUUUCCCAUUCUCGAACCACCUCUGAAUCUUGUACAAAUGUCAAUCAUUGCCUCCAUUGUGUCUUAACUGUUUACAUUUCGCUUUCCCUUCUAAGACUUUGAGCACUUUGGGGCCAUUUCCAUGUCUUAUCUGUGUUUUUGUAUCUUCAGCAACUAACAUGGAUGCUCAAUAAACAUACAUUGAACUGAGUUGUUACGUUGUGACCUGGAAAUAUUCACAAUUCCUUGUAUAGAUAGAAAUAGCUAAAUAAGGGCACAUAAGGAUAGACUCUAAAUGGCACUCAAUAAUGUGCAUAGGGCUGGGCGUGGUGACUCCCUGCCUGUAAUCACAGCACUUUGGGAGGUGGAGGUGGAUCACCUGAGGUCAGGAGUUAGAGACCAGCCUGGGCAACAUGGUGAAACUUCGUCUCAACCAAAAACACAAAAAAUCAGCUGGGUGUGGUAGUGUAUGUCUGUAAUCCCAGCUAUUUGGGAGGCUGCAGCACGAGAAUUGCUUGAACACAGGAGGUGGAGGUUGCAGUGAGCUGAGAUCGUAUCAUUGCACUCCAGCCUGGGCAACAGAGCAAGACUCUGUCUCAAAAAAAAAAGCAUAGGAUUUAAUCCAUGAAUUUUGAAUUUCUAUGUUAAAUUUUUAGAAAUAGUAACUUUUUCUCCCAUAUUUCUCAGCUAUAUCUGAGAUAACUGGGACUGAGCAACAUUGUCUAGACAGGCAAAGUGUUAGCAAUAAUAAGUAUAAUAAUAAUUGUAAUGUAAUAAUGGAAUGAGGAUGUUAAAGUACUGAGAUCAGGAUAAAAGUUACAAUUGUCCAAAUUUUAAAUUUCCUAUCAUUUCCACUGAAAUCACUGACUGUACUUAUAACAUUAUCAGGAAUUUAUGCAAUUUGUAGGUUUUGAAAUAAAUUACCAUUCAGAAUUCAACCGUGAAAAACAGUGUAACUCUACUUGAAAAACACUUUGAAAAACUCAAGUUUCCACCAAAUCUAGAAGCACAUGGGUCGUAAAACAUAGUUCGAAAAGUUACGAGAGAUGAUGACUACAAGGAACUUUUUAUAAAAAUCUUUUAUAAGCAUUACUCUGUGGUCAAAUUUAUUUUCACAUGGAUAUUAAAACAAGUUAUUGCUAC
This 10180-nucleotide long non-coding RNA is filed under the name Homo sapiens (human). Its description in RNAcentral is "HSALNT0116166". The record is from RNAcentral. Lineage: Eukaryota; Metazoa; Chordata; Mammalia; Primates; Hominidae.